ACCUGCCCACUGAAAUUUUUAAAUGGCCGCAGUAAUUUGACUGUGCAAAGGUAGCAUAAUCAUUAGUUUUUUAAUUAAAAGCUUGUAUGAAUGGUUGGACGAGGUAAAUUCUGUCUUUAUUUAAAUAAUAUUAGAAUUUAAUUUUUAAGUUAAAAAGCUUAAAUAAAUGUAAAAGACGAGAAGACCCUAUAGAUCUUUAUAUUAUUAUUUUAUAAUUUUAAUGAGGAAUUUUUAAUUUUUUAUAUUUUAUAAUAUUUUAUUGGGGUAAUAAAAAGAUUAAAUGAAUUCUUUUUUAUAUUUUACAUUUAUUUAUGAAUUUAUGAUCCAAAAUUUUUGAUUAUAAGAUUAAGUUACCUUAGGGAUAACAGCGUAAUUUUUUUAGAGAGUUCAUAUCGAUAAAAAAGUUUGCGACCUCGAUGUUGGAUUAAAAAUUGUUUUAGGCGCAGAAGUUUAAAAAUUUGGUCUGUUCGACCAUUAAAUUUUU
This 484-nucleotide ribosomal RNA is filed under the name Papuadytes sp. MB166. RNAcentral describes it as "partial 16S ribosomal RNA". It matches the Rfam family "Bacterial large subunit ribosomal RNA", at positions 1857 to 2597 of the family's 2925-position model. Lineage: Eukaryota; Metazoa; Arthropoda; Insecta; Coleoptera; Dytiscidae. The record is from RNAcentral.